RNAcentral lists this ribosomal RNA (509 nucleotides) under uncultured glomeraceous AM fungus. Its description in RNAcentral is "SSU rRNA". It matches the Rfam family "Eukaryotic small subunit ribosomal RNA", at positions 569 to 1078 of the family's 1831-position model. Lineage: Eukaryota; Fungi; Glomeromycota; Glomeromycetes; Glomerales; Glomeraceae. The record is from RNAcentral.
AGCAGCCGCGGUAAUUCCAGCUCCAAUAGCGUAUAUUAAAGUUGUUGCAGUUAAAAAGCUCGUAGUUGAAUUUCGGGAUCAAUGUUUCGGUCAUGCCCUUGGUAUGUACUGAUAUUAUUGGUUUCUCACCUUCUAAAGAACCGUAAUGCCAUUAAUUUGGUGUCACGGGGAAUUAGGACUGUUACCUUGAAAAAAUUAGAGUGUUUAAAGCAGGCUCACGCUUGAAUACAUUAGCAUGGAAUAAUGAAAUAGGACAUCCGAUUCUAUUUUGUUGGUUUCUAGGAUCGAUGUAAUGAUUAAUAGGGAUAGUUGGGGGCAUCAGUAUUCAAUUGUCAGAGGUGAAAUUCUUGGAUUUAUUGAAGACUAACUACUGCGAAAGCAUUUGCCAAGGAUGUUUUCAUUAAUCGAGAACGAAAGUUAGGGGAUCGAAGACGAUCAGAUACCGUCGUAGUCUUAACCAUAAACUAUGCCGACUAGGGAUCGGAUGAUGUUAAUUUUUUAAUGACUCA